GUGCAGCAGUCGAGAAUCUUUAGCAAUGCCCGAAAGGGUGACUAUGCGACGCCGCGUGAGCGAUGAAGUCCUUCGGGACGUAAAGCUCUGUCAGGUGGGAUGUAAUUUUUCGACCUUAACAGGGUUGGAAUUUGACCGUACCACCAGAGGAAGCCACGGCUAACUCCGUGCCAGCAGCCGCGGUAAUACGGAGGUGGCAAGCGUUGUUCGGAUUUAUUGGGUGUAAAGGGCAUGUAGGUGUCCUAGUAAGUCCUGGCUGAAAUCCGUUCGGCUCAACCGAAGAACGUGUCAGG
RNAcentral lists this ribosomal RNA (293 nucleotides) under uncultured microorganism. RNAcentral's name for it is "partial 16S ribosomal RNA". It matches the Rfam family "Bacterial small subunit ribosomal RNA", at positions 346 to 629 of the family's 1533-position model. The record is from RNAcentral.